Molecule: ribosomal RNA, 254 nt
Filed under: uncultured bacterium
Lineage: Bacteria
Description: partial 16S ribosomal RNA
Rfam family: Bacterial small subunit ribosomal RNA
Source: RNAcentral
UACGGGGGGAGCAAGCGUUGUUCGGAUUUACUGGGCGUAAAGGGCGCGUAGGCGGUCAGCACAAGUCAGUUGUGAAAUCUCCGGGCUUAACUCGGAAAGGUCAACUGAUACUGUGCGUCUAGAGUGCGGAAGGGGCAACUGGAAUUCUCGGUGUAGCGGUGAAAUGCGUAGAUAUCGAGAGGAACACCUGCGGCGAAGGCGGGUUGCUGGGCCGACACUGACGCUGAUGCGCGAAAGCCAGGGGAGCGAACGGG